This 80-nucleotide microRNA precursor is filed under the name Mesocestoides corti. RNAcentral describes it as "microRNA mco-mir-277 precursor". Its record names the gene mco-mir-277. Lineage: Eukaryota; Metazoa; Platyhelminthes; Cestoda; Cyclophyllidea; Mesocestoididae. The record is from miRBase by way of RNAcentral.
AUGGGUAGAAAGUGCUUUUUUACAAUCAGAUGCCCUUAGGACAUCCUUUUUUGUUUGUAAAUGCAUUUUCUGGCCCGUAA